AUGUGGAUUAAUCGUAUGCAACGCGAAAACCUUACCUACCCUUGACAUGCUAGGAACUUGCCAGAGAUGGCUUGGUGCCCGAAAGGGAACCUAGACACAGGUGCUGCAUGGCUGUCGUCAGCUCGUGUCGUGAGAUGUUGGGUUAAGUCCCGCAACGAGCGCAACCCUUGUCAUUAAUUGCCAUCAUUCAGUUGGGCACUUUAAUGAGACUGCCGGUGACAAACCGGAGGAAGGUGGGGAUGACGUCAAGUCCUCAUGGCCCUUAUGGGUAGGGCUUCACACGUAAUACAAUGGUCGGUACAGAGGGUUGCCAACCCGCGAGGGGGGAGCCAAUCCCAGAAAACCGAUCGUAGUCCGGAUUGCAGUCUGCAACUCGACUGCAUGAAGUCGGAAUCGCUAGUAAUCGCGGAUCAGCAUGUCGCGGUGAAUACGUUCCCGGGCCUU
This 444-nucleotide ribosomal RNA is filed under the name uncultured Methylophilaceae bacterium. RNAcentral describes it as "bacterial SSU rRNA". It matches the Rfam family "Bacterial small subunit ribosomal RNA", at positions 939 to 1382 of the family's 1533-position model. The record is from RNAcentral. Lineage: Bacteria; Pseudomonadati; Pseudomonadota; Betaproteobacteria; Nitrosomonadales; Methylophilaceae.